GACGAACGCUGGCGGCGUGCUUAACACAUGCAAGUCGAACGAUGAGCCCGGAGCUUUCCCUGGGGGAUUAUUGGCGAACGGGUGAGUAACACGUGAGGAACCUGCCCUUGACUCUGGGAUAAGCGUUGGAAACGACGUCUAAUACCGGAUAGGACCUUUGAUCGCAUGAUCUGGGGUGGAAAGUGUUUUCGGUCUGGGAUGGACUGGCGGCCUAUCAGCUUGUUGGUGAGGUAAUGGCGCGCCAAGGAUUCGACGGGUAGCCGGCCUGAGAGGGUGACCGGCCACACUGGGAAUGAGACACGGCGCAGACUCCUACGGGAGGCAGGAGUGGGGAAUAUUGCACAAUGGGCGAAAGCGUGAUGCAGCAACGCCGCGUGCGGGAUGACGGCCUUCGGGUUGUAAACCGCUUUUAGUAGGGAAGAAGGGCUUCGGCUUGACGGUACCUGCAGAAAAAGGACCGGCUAACUACGUG
This 472-nucleotide ribosomal RNA is filed under the name uncultured bacterium. Its description in RNAcentral is "partial 16S ribosomal RNA". It matches the Rfam family "Bacterial small subunit ribosomal RNA", at positions 28 to 507 of the family's 1533-position model. The record is from RNAcentral.